AGGAGCCUCCCCUAUCCAUGCUGGAAUGUUGAAGGGACCAAUCUGACACCAGUUCUUUACAACAUAUGAUUUUACUUUAAGUUAAUUUAACCCUUAGUUAAAUCAUUUAAGUUCUUUGAUUUCAGCCCCACCGUAUCUUCACCUUGGACUAUAGGCUUGGUUGCCUGAGGCACAUUUGGAUGCACUGGAGUCACUUCUGUUACUCAUUCUGCCUCUGACUGGAUGAGGGAUGUGAAGGAGACUUCAGGGUGUGAAGUUUGGUGUCCUUCGUGGUUCAUGUGCUUGAACCUUCGUUCCCAGUAGGUGGCGCUGUUUUCGAAGGUUAAGAAAUCCUUAGAAGGAUUCAGGUCGGGCCUUGGGCCUCUAUUUCCUACAGGAGCUUUCUGUUUCCUGAUCUGUGAAGAUGUGGACAAGCCACGUGACAAGCUGGAGAGGCGAUCCUCUGUUACAGAAAAGAGCCAGCUGAGCAAGGUGUGGGGAACAAGGCAGUUUCUCAGGUCCCCGCUUCAGUUUCUGCCUCCAGAUCCCUUCCUUGGCUUUCCUCAGCGAUCAGGUCAUGGACCCACCUCUCUCUCCACCACUGCUGGGAAAGUCUUUGCAGCUCGACUUUGAAUCUCACCUCCUUCAGAAGCGUUGACAGGCCCUGCAAGAUCAGACGAGAGCUCCUAGCUCCUGCUUCAGCACCGUGCUUGCCUGUGUGGUGCCAUGCUCCCUGCCAUGAUGGUCAUGAACUUACCACUGGAAUGGUUGUUCCUGUCAUGGAUUUUUAUCAUAGUGUUGAGAAGAGCGACUCUCAUGAACUAACACAAUGACAUCACACUGGGUUGCUUACAGUUUGGAGGUUUUAUUUCUCACAGCUCUGAAGACUACAUCAAGUUGUCAAUGGACUCGUCCUGACCUCAGAGAAAGAAAGUGAGUCAACUUGGGCUACUGUGGCUAGAUCUCCCAUCAGUCCAUCCUUCCAGUUCUGUGGCUGCCUUGUGGACAGUGCUGCACUAUAAAUCUGCCUGUCUGUCAGCACUCUAAGGAGGAUCUAGCUGUGCAUCCCAGCCUGGCUCUGAUACCACCAUCUUCUUGCCUGCACCUUCUGAGUGCUGGGAUCACAAGUACUUGUUGCUGCACCUGACUUGCCAUCUUGGUCCCUUGAUCAAACCUGGAAGGAGACCUGUCGAGAUGGAGAGAACUGCCUUGGUGGUAAGGUUAGACCCACUGGCUGCUGCCCCAUUGACUGUGUAUGAGGAGGGAGGCAACAGAAUGUGUGGUUAACCAAUGGCUGGAUAAUAAAAGCAUCCCUGGGGGCUGGUGAGAUGGCUCAGUGGGUGAACUGCUUGUUGUGGCAAUUGUGAGAACAGAAGUUUGGAUAACCCGAACCCAUACUAGAAGCACCUGGAUGGUAGGCUUGCUUCUUGUAUCCUGACAUGGUUGGGCACACCUAGGAGUAGGUACAAGGCUCACAAAUCCAAGGUUGUCUGCACUGUGACCAAGGCAACUUACAAAUAAAGUGUUUAAUUUUG
Molecule: long non-coding RNA, 1514 nt
Filed under: Mus caroli (Ryukyu mouse)
Lineage: Eukaryota; Metazoa; Chordata; Mammalia; Rodentia; Muridae
Description: RIKEN cDNA 4933406J09 gene (MGP_CAROLIEiJ_G0003946.1)
Source: RNAcentral